Molecule: long non-coding RNA, 2113 nt
Filed under: Gigantopelta aegis
Lineage: Eukaryota; Metazoa; Mollusca; Gastropoda; Neomphalida; Peltospiridae
Description: uncharacterized LOC121390709
Source: RNAcentral
GUUGGGGCCCCUCUAGCGUCAAUAUAUGCAUUACACCUUUGUCGUAUGGUUAAUAUGCCCACCCUAAUUCAACCAGCGUUCAUGAUGGUUAGUGACUUUGCUGAAUAUGUCUUCCAAGGAUAUCCCACACGGGUUCUAUGGGCGAAAGGUCAGGGGACAUUGCUGGCCAAGCCAAGGUGUGGAUUUGAUGCCUCUGUAGAUGAUCUGUGCACAGUGAGCUCUGGCACUGUCAUCCUGAAACACAAAUCCUGUGCCAUGACGAUGAGCAAAUGGUAGAACAUGACGAUUGAUGGGGAUCUCUGAAGUACAGACCUGUGACUCUCCCUUGACAUGACAUGGUGAUGUCACCCUCGCAUUAUUGACCGACUUCCAUACCGAUCAUGAGGUACCACAGCAGUCUCUUGGAAUCGUUUACCUAACCUGCGACAAACCCUUACACGACCGUCACUGAAGUCCAGAUUAAACCUGGAUUUGUUACUAAACAUGACAUUUGACCAACGAGCAUUUGUCCAUCGCAGAUGACACCGACACCAUUCAUUCCAGCAGAGUUUGGCGAUAUCUUGCAGUUAAAGGUAAAAUAAUGUUUGGUCUAAGGGCGCGUAACAAAGUAGCAUGCUGAGGGUUACGAACAUUUGGUGUGCAGAGUUGGAUCUCUGUUUGCCUGUUGGAGUUGCUGUAAUAAUUGAAUUGCGUUGAUUUGAUGAUUACGGAGGAUUACGAAGUGCUAAACUUCUGUUAAUCACCGAUCUGUCUUUUUAGACUAUUAAAAUUAUUAUUGUUUAUAUGACUGCUUAACUAAAUAUAACUAACUACGGUAUGUAUAUUUUUUGUAUAGUUCAAAGCGCUUAUUGGACAGCAAGGACAAAGUACUGAUAAACGGGCACAGAUCGCCACCUACCUGUUACAACACGGCGCCGAUAAAGGAGCCAAGAACCAUAGAGGGUUAACUCCUGUUGAGAUAUGCACCGAAGAGAAGCUGAAGAGGGUGGUGCAAAAUUUCACACAAAUAAAUUCACCACCGAGCAGUUCCGCUGCUGGGAAUGCUACAGCUUCAGGUUUUGUUGAAGACGUCUUGUGUUCCAGUUGUUUGAGACAGAGAGCCAAUGUCAUCAUUCUGCCCUGCUCUCACAAGACCUUAUGCAAGUCUUGCUGUCAAAACGUUAGACGAUGCCCUCUGUGUGGAAAAGACGCCAAUAGAAAAAUUGGAGAAGAUGGCAACAAGAUUGGCAAUGAGUGUGCCAUUCAGUAAAAGGAAUCGCCUGAUACUUUACUCGACUACUAUGUGGCAUACGUCAUAGACUGUGAUUGAAGAAUCUUACAAUCAAGGAACAUAUUUAUGGGGUUUUUUGCAUACAAUUUAUAUAUAUACACAUUGCAGAAAAACUAAAUCUAGCAGACCGCAUAGAUACAACAGCAAAAAGUGAAGCAUUUAUUACGUUAAAAGACCACAAACCAAACUUCUCCAAUAAACCCACCUGUAGACUAAUAAACCCAUCUAAACCGGAAAUUGGCAUAAUAAGCAAAAAAAAAACUAGGGAGAGAAUCAACAGAAAGAUUCUGAACACAACCAGAACAAACCAGUGGAGGAACACGUCAGACGUGAUUAAGUGGUUUAAAGCAAUAUCCAAUAAAUCCAACUAUUCUUUCAUAUGUUUCGAUAUAUGUGAUUUUUAUCCGUCCAUAACAGAAAAUCUCGUGAAACAAGCCCUACAGUUCGCAUCCAAAUUCGACGAUAUUUCUAGCGAUGAGAUGGAAAUAAUAUUACAAGCAAGAAAUUCACUGCUAUUUAACAACAGCAAGGCAUAGUGCAAAAGAGGCAAACAAUCACGGUUUGAUGUAACUAUGGGUAGUUACGAUGGAGCAGAAAUUUGCGAAAUAGUCGGGCUCUUUCUUCUUUCAGAACUACAAGCCAAAUACGGCAACAAUAUAGGACUAUAUCGCGACGAUGGCCUAGCUGCAUUCAAAGAGUCACCGAGAACCAUAGAGAUAAUCAAAAAAGAUAUUUGCAGAAUAUUUGCAAACCAUAAACUCAAGAUCACCAUAGUCGCCAACAAAAAAUCUGUAGAUUACUUAGACGUAACUCUAGAUCUUGAAAAGAGCUCAGUCAAACCCU